This 773-nucleotide ribosomal RNA is filed under the name Streptococcus anginosus. Its description in RNAcentral is "bacterial SSU rRNA". It matches the Rfam family "Bacterial small subunit ribosomal RNA", at positions 28 to 776 of the family's 1533-position model. The record is from RNAcentral. Lineage: Bacteria; Bacillati; Bacillota; Bacilli; Lactobacillales; Streptococcaceae.
GACGAACGCUGGCGGCGUGCCUAAUACAUGCAAGUAGGACGCACAGUCUAUACCGUAGCUUGCUACACCAUAGACUGUGAGUUGCGAACGGGUGAGUAACGCGUAGGUAACCUGCCUAUUAGAGGGGGAUAACUAUUGGAAACGAUAGCUAAUACCGCAUAACAGUAUGUAACACAUGUUAGAUGCUUGAAAGAUGCAAUUGCAUCGCUAGUAGAUGGACCUGCGUUGUAUUAGCUAGUAGGUAGGGUAAUGGCCUACCUAGGCGACGAUACAUAGCCGACCUGAGAGGGUGAUCGGCCACACUGGGACUGAGACACGGCCCAGACUCCUACGGGAGGCAGCAGUAGGGAAUCUUCGGCAAUGGGGGGAACCCUGACCGAGCAACGCCGCGUGAGUGAAGAAGGUUUUCGGAUCGUAAAGCUCUGUUGUUAAGGAAGAACGAGUGUGAGAAUGGAAAGUUCAUACUGUGACGGUACUUAACCAGAAAGGGACGGCUAACUACGUGCCAGCAGCCGCGGUAAUACGUAGGUCCCGAGCGUUGUCCGGAUUUAUUGGGCGUAAAGCGAGCGCAGGCGGUUAGAAAAGUCUGAAGUGAAAGGCAGUAGCUCAACCAUUGUAGGCUUUGGAAACUGUUUAACUUGAGUGCAGAAGGGGAGAGUGGAAUUCCAUGUGUAGCGGUGAAAUGCGUAGAUAUAUGGAGGAACACCGGUGGCGAAAGCGGCUCUCUGGUCUGUAACUGACGCUGAGGCUCGAAAGCGUGGGGAGCGAACAGG